GUGGGGAAUUGUUCGCAAUGGGCGCAAGCCUGACGACGCAACGCCGCGUGGAGGAUGAAGAUUUUCGGAUCGUAAACUCCUGUCGAAUGGGACGAAAAGAUUGCGGGUGAACAGCCCGUAGUCCUGACGGUACCGUUAAAGGAAACCCCGGCUAACUCCGUGCCAGCAGCCGCGGUAAUACGGGGGGGGUAAGCGUUGUUCGGAAUUACUGGGCGUAAAGGGCUCGUAGGCGGCCAACUAAGUCGGACGUGAAAUCCCUCAGCUUAACUGGGGAACUGCGUCCGAUACUGGAUGGCUUGGAUUUGGGAGAGGGAUGCGGAAUUCCAGGUGUAGCGGUGAAAUGCGUAGAUAUCUGGAGGAACACCGGUGGCGAAGGCGGCAUCCUGGACCAAUAUUGACGCUGAGGAGCGAAAGCCAGGGGAGCAAACGGGAUUAGAUACCCGAGUAGUCC
RNAcentral lists this ribosomal RNA (451 nucleotides) under uncultured bacterium. RNAcentral describes it as "bacterial SSU rRNA". It matches the Rfam family "Bacterial small subunit ribosomal RNA", at positions 354 to 796 of the family's 1533-position model. The record is from RNAcentral.